CAAGAAAUAGUUUAUGUUAAAAUAUUAAUUUUGGAGAUUAAUGAUAAUAGAAAUUACUAUUUUUCUUGA
This 69-nucleotide transfer RNA is filed under the name Helophorus sp. BMNH 724835. Its description in RNAcentral is "tRNA-Pro". The record is from RNAcentral. Lineage: Eukaryota; Metazoa; Arthropoda; Insecta; Coleoptera; Helophoridae.